ACGAAUGGCUUUUGGCCUUCGACUUUGUAAACCAGUGGAGCGAAGAUUGUGCUUUGGUGCCUUAGGUGCCAGGUUUAUGCCGUAAAGUGUUUGUCUGAAUCGAAACAAAAUUUUA
RNAcentral lists this unclassified non-coding RNA (115 nucleotides) under uncultured Ascomycota. Its description in RNAcentral is "sequence contains ITS1". Lineage: Eukaryota; Fungi; Ascomycota. The record is from RNAcentral.